Long non-coding RNA from Balaenoptera acutorostrata (minke whale), 616 nucleotides. RefSeq lists it as uncharacterized. The transcript has 4 exons. Lineage: Eukaryota; Metazoa; Chordata; Mammalia; Artiodactyla; Balaenopteridae. The record is from RefSeq and is a predicted model, not a curated record.
AGGUCGCUCUCACAGCCGCGGGGAGUGGGGCGGGGCGGGCAGGCAGAGGUGGAAUAGCCAAGUCCACCUCGGUGUGGAGGGUCAGGAUGGGAACUGGAGCUGGGAAAGAGUGCCAGAAAGGGGCAGGAGUCAGGGGGCCUGACCUUUCCACAUUCCUAAGUCAAAGGGCAGGCUGCAUUUUGGGCUGGUUGCCAAAGCUGGGGACAGCCGGGAAGAAAAAUAUCUGUGGAGUUCUGAGUCCUCCAGACAAUUGCACGACUCAACCCUGGAGAACAUCAAGUGGGCGGUCUUCGGCAGGCUACCUGAAGAAUUGUCGGUUUCACAGCUUGAGUCCUUCAAGAGUGAUGAGCCCUCCGUGGUUAAGAAUCUGCCUGCCAAUGCAGGGGACACGGGUUCGAGCCCGGGUCCGGGAAGAUCCCACAUGCUGCAGAGCAACUAAGCCCAUGUGCUACAACUACUGAGCCUGCGCUCUAGAGCCCGCGAGCCACGGCUACUGAAGCCUGUGCGCCUAGAGUCUGUGCUCCACAACAAGAGAAGCCACCGCAAUGAGAAGCCCGCGCACUGCAACAAAGAGUGGCCCCCACUCGCCGCAACUAGAGAAAGCCCGCGUGCAGCA